This 1134-nucleotide unclassified non-coding RNA is filed under the name Hevea brasiliensis (rubber tree). Lineage: Eukaryota; Viridiplantae; Streptophyta; Magnoliopsida; Malpighiales; Euphorbiaceae. The record is from RNAcentral.
AUAAACACUAACAUGAAAAAACAAGCCUUUGCUCCUGGACCAAGGUUUCAAAAAGAAGUGAAAAAUAUACAUAUAGAGAAAAACAUUGCUGACUUUAUAAGGGAUCUUUCUCCGUUGGCGUGUCAGAAUCGCGUUUACAGUUAAGUUACUGGAUUGUCUGACCUCCAUGAAGUUCUCAGGUAGAAUUAAUCCUUCAAGAUUCAUACAUUCCUGUUGAUAGCUGCAAAAGAGAGUCUUCGCACAGAUUAAUCUAGUGUUAUGAUUCAACUGGAUCGACUCGUUGAAGAAGUUCCAAAACACUUCCGGCUUUUCUUUUAGCUCUAUCUGUACCAUUCUCCGAUAGUUCCUUCAGUACCUCUUCUGCUCCAAGCUCCCUAACGAUCUUUAAGCUCUGAACAUCACCUGUACAUAGAGACCACAAAAUAGCUGCAGCAUUCUCUCGGUUACGAGGAGAACCUGUCCUAAUUACCUGAACUAAGACGGGAAGUGGCUCAGACUGAGCAAUAGCUGCCUUACCCUCCUGAUGACUUGCUAGUAUUGCCAAUAUCGCAAGUGCUUCAUCCAUCAUUCCACCCCCGGGAUCCUUGAGUAAUCUUACUAGUGGUGGAACAAUUCCUGCCCGUACUGCCCUGACUUUGUUUCCUUGAUAGAUUGAGAGGUUGAAUAUAGCAGUGGCAGCGUCCUUUUUUCCCCUUGGGGUUCCAUGACAGAGCAAAUCGAUCAGCGCUGGGAUAGCACCAGCUGCUCCUAUUGCCACUUUGUUUUCAUCAACUACUGAUAAACUGAAAAGGGUAGCGGCUGCAUUUUCCCUUGCUUCCAUGCUUCCAUUUCUUAGUACAUCUACUAUAUCAGGUAUAGCACCAGCAUUUACGAUAGUUCCCUUGUUACUUUCAUUUAUGGAUAGGUUAAGAAGUGCGGUGACAGCAUGCUCCUGAGUACGAGAAUCUGAUGAUGAUAGUAGUUCAACAAGUAGAGGAAUUGCCCCGGCUCCAGCAAUGCAGACUCUGUUAUCAGCAUUUCUUUUUGCUAGCAAACGGAGCUCACCGGCAGCUGCUCUUUGCUGCUCCGAAUUACCAUUAGCAAGUUUUUGUAAUAACGCAUCAAUAGCAACACGAUCACAGUCCGAACCACCAG